CUAAGGCUUUCUUUCCGCUUUGACUUGCCUUCCUUAUCUUUCAAUCUGGACUUGCAUGUGUUCCAUGACUAUUUGGCUUUGAGGGACAUCUUCUCUUUCCCUUAUCAAGCAAGUCACACCUAAUCGCCCUUGAUGCCAAACACAAGGAUCCCCUCCUGCUUAUCCACCCACCGUAAACGAUUACUAACGAACUUGGGCAACCCAACUGUGCCUUACAUGUGCUCUACAGACCGCACGUAAUCUUUCUUCCC
RNAcentral lists this long non-coding RNA (251 nucleotides) under Solanum pimpinellifolium. Its description in RNAcentral is "long non-coding RNA (SPIM_LNC000068)". Lineage: Eukaryota; Viridiplantae; Streptophyta; Magnoliopsida; Solanales; Solanaceae. The record is from RNAcentral.